GUCGUGCUCACGAGUCCUACUCCUACCCUUUCCCCAGCCAUGGAGCCGGUGGACGGCAUUUGCCUAAAGUAAUGUUGGCCGAUGUAGCUGAUGCCUUAAGGGCCCUGAGUAUUUAUCAACUGCCUGUCCUGUGCCAAGUGCUAUCCUAAGAUCUGGGGACACAGCAGUGAACAGCCCUGUCCUCACAGAGUUCACAUAACAGGGGAGACAACACAUGAACAUGUCAAGUAUCGAUAGGUGCUAUGAAGGAAAAUAAAGCAAGAUUCCUAAGGGAGAAAUGUGGAGA
Long non-coding RNA from Eubalaena glacialis (North Atlantic right whale), 286 nucleotides. RefSeq lists it as uncharacterized. The transcript is spliced from 3 exons. NCBI's taxonomy places the organism in Eukaryota, Metazoa, Chordata, Mammalia, Artiodactyla, Balaenidae. The record is from RefSeq and is a predicted model, not a curated record.